Peromyscus californicus insignis is the source of this 1490-nucleotide long non-coding RNA. RefSeq lists it as uncharacterized. The transcript is spliced from 3 exons. The record is from RefSeq and is a predicted model, not a curated record. NCBI's taxonomy places the organism in Eukaryota, Metazoa, Chordata, Mammalia, Rodentia, Cricetidae.
AGUGAGGCCUGGUGCACAAUGGAGGGGGGGGGGGCUGGGCCCUCCACAUGGAAAUGAGGCCAAAGCCCCUUUUUCUCCCUCCUCUGUCUGGCUUCUUCCUCCUUCUCCUCCUCCUCUUUGGCCUUAGAGAGCACCGUGGACAGAGCUCAAAUGAAAACCCUGGAAGUGAAACUCAGCUUGAUCCAGGGUCCCUCAGAAGCUCCACCAAGGCCUUCAACAUUGCUUAGACUUGGAAAGGCCAGACACCCUCCCUCCAGACUGUGUUAAAUGCUCCUGGGAGGCCCUGACAUGGCUUGGAAUCUUCAGAAGUCACUGCACUGACAGACAGAUCACAUGAGAACAACAGACUCAGCUGGAAGAGGCACUACUGGCAAGGAUCAAAAUGUCCCAUGCAGUCCCAGAAAGUGAAGUCUGUGUGGCUAAUAGACAAGUGGGUCUCCAGGCCCCUUGGAGGAAGAACAGGCAAGCCUAAAAUUUUAUGCCUGAGAGCUCCACUGACAUGUACUGGAAGGCAAAGGCAUUUAUCACCCAGUGUCACAUGGCAGGGUCAUAAACAGUUAAUCUUCGACAAAGCGCAGAAGGAAGCAUUGUUGGAUACCCCUUCCAACAGAAAGAAUAAAUUAGGCUUAACUACCAGGUGCAUCUUUAAAUGCCGGUUACUAUUCACAUUGCAGCACAGACCCGUCUGUGAAGCUAGUGGGUGGAGAUGCUGGGUGGUAUCACCGGCUUCAGAAUUGCAUCCCCCAGAGUGCCUCUCUGGAGACUAGAAGAAGGGAUCCUUGGGGUUGGCCAUUCUUGCCCCAGCUUUUGAUGUGGUCUGCACGGGAGCAGCCACAGGCUAGGCUUCCCUUUCUGCUUGGAUUUCUAACCAGACCCUCUUCCUACAAUGCUAAACUGACUGUUUACUUCUGCAAGGGUUGCAUCCAAACAGCUAUGGUCUUGAGAUUUGAGUCUGAGAAUGGCAUGCAGUGCCUCAGCCACCUCAGAACAAACACAUAUCUGGGAGCUAUGGCACUUUUGACUUUCCUGGUGGCCUCUACCUCGUCAUGACCUCUGCAUAGCUCCAGGCAUACCUUGUCCCAGUUGUGAGCUCCUAUUUAUGGCUAUUCCUGCAAAUACUGUUGCAUGAUAUGUAUUUUGCAUGUUUUGUAAGAAACAACCUCUGAGUUUAUUUUUCCAGAAUAAAGAUUGAGACAGUAAAGAUGCGGAGGGACCUUGAAACUACACUCUGCACCCCCUACUUACUGGUGUCAGGUCUGUCACAUCUGAGCUGCUGUGACCUGCAGCAUGCCCCUCUCUGGCCAUUCAGGCGGGAGGUCCUGAGUCCUUGUCUCUUGCUGGUGGGCUUCUGUGCAUCCUGGGACGAUGGGGGUGAUGACUAGCUUGUUUUGGAGGAGGGGUCCUCAAAUUUGCAUUUCAAUGGGUUUUUAUUAAUCCACCUGCACGCGCACGAGUGCGCGCACACACAAACACACACACGAACAUACACA